Molecule: ribosomal RNA, 475 nt
Filed under: archaeon
Lineage: Archaea
Also listed under: 1 other name
Description: bacterial SSU rRNA
Rfam family: Archaeal small subunit ribosomal RNA
Source: RNAcentral
UUAAUUCCGGUUGAUCCUGCCGGACAAGACUGCUAUCGGAGUUCGACUAAGCCAUGCAAGUUUUCCGCGAGGAAGCGAAAGGCUGAGUAACACGUAGCUAACCUAAUCUCAAGUGGGGCACAACCUCGGGAAACUGAGGAUAAUUCCCCAUAGCCUUCGGAUACUGAAAUGUUCCAAAGGCAAAAGCUUCGGCGCUUGAGAAUGGGGCUGCGGCCUAUCAGCUUGUUGGUAAGGUAAUGGCUUACCAAGGCUAAGACGGGUAGGGGCAGUGUGAGCUGGAGCCCCCAGAUGGGUACUGAGACACGGACCCAAGCCUUACGAGGUGCAGCAGGCGCGAAACCUUCUCAAUGCACGCAAGUGUGAAGAGGGGACUCUGAGUGUUUGUGCUUUUUGUACAAACUUUUAACCAGUGUAAACAGCUGGUUGAGUAAGGGCUGGGAAAGACAGGAGCCAGCCGUCGCGUUAAUAACUGCAC